UGUGUUCGGCAACAAAAGAUGUAAUUCAAUCUAUCUGUUCGUUUCUCGAAAGACAUGUCGAACAGACAUCGCGUUGCAAUGAUGAAAGGACCUCAAGAUGUUGUAGAGGAACGGAUGAGCUUUCGAAUGCUUCACCUCGUUCUGUUUAUUGUAUAGGUGUUAACUGGUAAAUGCUUUCACUCCCCUAUUUUUAUUGUAGCUAGGGUUGGGAGAACUAUCCUUUUCAGAAAGCAUUUGGAUCCUUCACCUGGCUAGCCAUUGCUAUAUAUUUAGACCUCACCUCGAGCUCACUGUGCUCGGUCCCGUCCGUGGCGCUCU
This 318-nucleotide long non-coding RNA is filed under the name Elaeis guineensis (African oil palm). RNAcentral's name for it is "long non-coding RNA (EGUI_LNC011938)". Lineage: Eukaryota; Viridiplantae; Streptophyta; Magnoliopsida; Arecales; Arecaceae. The record is from RNAcentral.